GACGAACGCUGGCGGCGUGCUUAACACAUGCAAGUCGAACGGUGAAAGCGGAGCUUGCUCCGCUGGAUCAGUGGCGAACGGGUGAGUAACACGUGGGCAACCUGCCCCUCACUUCGGGAUAACUCCGGGAAACCGGGGCUAAUACCGGAUAUGACCUCCUUGGGCAUCCUUGGAGGUGGAAAGUUUUUCGGCGAGGGAUGGGCCCGCGGCCGAUCAGCUUGUUGGUGAGGUAGUGGCUCACCAAGGCGACGACGGGUAGCCGGCCUGAGAGGGCGAGCGGCCACACUGGAACUGAGACACGGCCCAGACUGCUACGGGAGGCAGGAGUGGGGAAUAUUGCGCAAUGGGCGAAAGCCUGACGCAGCAACGCCGCGUGCGGGAUGACGGCCUUCGGGUUGUAAACCGCUUUCAGCAGGGAAGAAGCCGCAAGGUGACGGUACCUGCAGAAGAAGCACCGGCUAACUACGUGCCAGCCGCCGCAGUAA
This 485-nucleotide ribosomal RNA is filed under the name uncultured bacterium. RNAcentral describes it as "partial 16S ribosomal RNA". It matches the Rfam family "Bacterial small subunit ribosomal RNA", at positions 28 to 523 of the family's 1533-position model. The record is from RNAcentral.